RNAcentral lists this ribosomal RNA (233 nucleotides) under uncultured bacterium. Its description in RNAcentral is "partial 16S ribosomal RNA". It matches the Rfam family "Bacterial small subunit ribosomal RNA", at positions 15 to 237 of the family's 1533-position model. The record is from RNAcentral.
GAUCAUGGCUCAGGAUGAACGCUAGCUACAGGCUUAACACAUGCAAGUCGAGGGGCAGCAUGGUCUUAGCUUGCUAAGGCCGAUGGCGACCGGCGCACGGGUGAGUAACGCGUAUCCAACCUGCCUUACACUCUUGGACAGCCUUCUGAAAGGGAGAUUAAUACAAGAUGUUAUCAUGAGUAAGCAUUUUCGCAUGAUUAAAGGUUUACCGGUGUUAAGAUGGGGGAUGCGUU